RNAcentral lists this long non-coding RNA (561 nucleotides) under Lathyrus oleraceus (garden pea). RNAcentral describes it as "Pisum sativum (pea) long non-coding RNA (PSAT_LNC025613)". The record is from RNAcentral. Lineage: Eukaryota; Viridiplantae; Streptophyta; Magnoliopsida; Fabales; Fabaceae.
UUUUUCAAGUUGAUACAUGUUUGGUUGACUUCUUUGAGCAUGCUUAAACUUGUCUUGCCUUUCUGAUUUUCAUUGAUCAUCUUCCCAUGAUCCAAAUGAGCUGAAAUUUUAUAUGCAUAUCAUGCUAUGGAUUGAUCAUGAAUUAUUUGAUAAUUUUUUGAAAUUUUUAUGAUUGGUUUUGAGUUGAGUCUUGCUGUUGACUUCUAUGAGCUUUCAUUUGCCAUGCUUUGACUUCUUUUGCUUAUGAAAUGAUGAUGAUGAAUGAUAUGAAUGUGGGACCAAUUGAGUUUGCUUCUUGAUUGUUUAAACUUGAUUUUGGUUGAAUAUCACUUGCUGUUUUGACUUUCUCAUCCCCUUUUGACCCUAGGCUUGUCCUAGUGGUCUUGUUGCUCAUGUUUGAGUUCAUGUUUUCAGGUUAAGCAACAUUGCUUCAAAAAGAGCAAUACAAAUUGAUUGAGUUUACUUGAUUAUCAUGAGCUAACCUCUUUGUUUUGUAGGUUGCUUGGCUCACAAGCUUUGAGCCUUGUGCUUUGCACAUUUAUCUGUUUGUGUUAACUGUUG